AUUGAACGCUGGCGGCAGGCCUAAUACAUGCAAGUCGAACGGUAACAUAAGAAAGCUUGCUUUCUUGAUGACGAGUGGCGGACGGGUGAGUAAUAUUUGGGAAGCUACCUGAUAGAGGGGGACAACAGUUGGAAACGACUGCUAAUACCGCAUACGGCCUGAGGGUGAAAGCAGCAAUGCGCUAUCAGAUGCGCCCAAACGGGAUUAGCUAGUAGGUGAGGUAAAGGCUCACCUAGGCGACGAUCUCUAGCUGGUCUGAGAGGAUGAUCAGCCACAUUGGGACUGAGACACGGCCCAGACUCCUACGGGAGGCAGCAGUAGGGAAUAUUGCACAAUGGAGGAAACUCUGAUGCAGCCAUGCCGCGUGUGUGAAGAAGGCCUUCGGGUUGUAAAGCACUUCGGUAGGGAGGAACAAAUGACGUUACCUCAGAAGAAGCACCGGCUAACUCCGUGCCAGCAGCCGC
Molecule: ribosomal RNA, 464 nt
Filed under: uncultured bacterium
Lineage: Bacteria
Description: bacterial SSU rRNA
Rfam family: Bacterial small subunit ribosomal RNA
Source: RNAcentral